RNAcentral lists this ribosomal RNA (119 nucleotides) under Pteropus alecto (black flying fox). Lineage: Eukaryota; Metazoa; Chordata; Mammalia; Chiroptera; Pteropodidae. The record is from RNAcentral.
GUCUACAGCCAUGCCACCCUGAACAAGCCCAAUCCCAUCUGAUCUCGGAAGCUAAGCAGGGUUGGGACUAGUUAGUUCUUGGAUGGGAGACCAUGUAGGAAGACCAGGUGCUGUAGGCG